This is a long non-coding RNA of Heterocephalus glaber (naked mole-rat), 2650 nucleotides long. NCBI's taxonomy places the organism in Eukaryota, Metazoa, Chordata, Mammalia, Rodentia, Bathyergidae. The record is from Ensembl.
GUCUGUUCCACAGAGCUGAAUUUGGAGGAAAGGUUUUGCUCAAGGUUAAGCCAGGCUGUCUGAGAGCAAUAGUGCCGUUGCAGUGUCCACUGGCAACAUUAUCUGAGCAGUGGGAUUUCCUACAGCUUAGGUUUCAAAUGGUUUACUUUGAUUUCUUAAAGCUAUAAAUAAGUUUGCUCAUCUUUAAAUGGCAAUGUUAGUGGCUACACCAUAGAAAACCCCUGCAUCAAAAGCAAGAGACACGAAUGGAAGGAAAGACACAGGGAAAUAAAGCCAAGAGGACUCAGGGUCUCCGUUGACUUACCCGCGGGCCGGGACAAGUGGCGCCCAACGUGGGGCCUGAGAAUGGGGGAUCCAGUGAAGAAUGCUGCUCGGGAGCCCAAUAAAAUAGAAGAGACAAAUAAAAUAGAAAAAAGAGGAUUGCGUUUGACAUGAACCUGCCGUCUUUCCUGCACCUCGGUUAAAAAGAUGACAUCCCUGAUUCUGUCACAUGGCCUGUUGCUGCUCCUGGCACUGACAGCAGAAAGCGGAUUUCAACCAGUUAACAAGGAACAACUGCUCAUUGCCCUGUAUGGUAACCCCUGUGACUGUGCCGGGGGUUCUGGCGGGCCCGUACCCACAAGUUACACCCGUAGUACUGAUUGCGGCAGCAAGACUGCCUACUUGGUUUAUGAGGCCUCGAUAACGGGAGGAUAUAACCAAAAAUGGGAUUGUGUCACUAAGCCUAAAGUCAUACUAACAAUCAAUGGCAAACCAGGGCCAUGCCCUACCGGCUGUGCCAUGGCCACAGAGAUGCACUCUACCUGUUACACUGAAGUCCAACAAUGUGCACAUUCUGAUGGAAAAAUAUAUCUAACUGCUGUUCUACAAAGAACUUACAGGGGCUCCGUCGGGGGUGACUGGGACUUUUCCAGUCCCACUGGAUAUCCUAAAUUUGGCCAAGCCUCCUGCAGUGGCAGUCCCGGCAAAGAUGUCUGCUGGCCGCCACAGGCCCCAAUUCAUAUAUCUGAUGGUGGCGGGCCUUCAGAUCAGCUCAGGGAAGAGCGAGUACAAAAACAGCUCGAGACUAUCAUCCAAGAGAUGUACCCCUCCCUAAAUUAUCAUCCACUGGCCCUUCCCAAACCUCGAGGCCCAGACCCUGACGUCCAAACCCUGAGUGUCUUAGAGGCCACUUAUCAAUUGAUCAAUACAUCCAACCCAGCCUUUGCUGCGGAUUGUUGGCUAUGCUUGACCCUUGGCACACCCCUGCCCCUCGUCUUGCCAGUUGUCGACCAAACUGACUAUGCCAACAGUUCUAGUUACAAUUGCAGUUUUUCUCUGCCCUUCAGGGUCCAGCCAGUACAGUUCAAUGCCUCAGUUUGUUAUCUAAGUUCAGGCCACAACGAUAGCUUCGAUAUACCUGUCGGAGUCCAAAAUUUCUCUCUCUGCUCUGUAACGCUUAAUGGCUCUGCCGCCAUUUGCCCUGCCCCGGGUCACGUGCUCGUCUGUGGAGGGAGCUUGGCAUUCACUUCCCUCCCCACUAAUUGGACUGGGCUGUGCGUGGUGGCGACUGUCCUCCCGGACAUCGCCCUCAUUCCUGGAGAUGAGCCAGUGCCCUUGCCCAGCUUUGACUAUAUCGCUGGGUGACAUAAAAGGGCCGUCUCACUGGUCCCCUUGCUCGUGGGGCUAGGGGUGUCCAGCGCCCUUGCCACUGGCUCCGCUGGCGUCGGAGUGGCGUUACACUCCUAUGCCAAAUUAUCCAACCAGUUGAUUAAUGAUGUUCAAGCUCUCUCCAACACUCUUACAGAUUUACAAGAUCAGAUUGAUUCUUUGGCUGAGGUGGUCCUUCAAAAUAGAAGGGGCCUGGACCUCCUCACGGCGGAACAAGGGGGGAUUUGCAUAGCCCUAAAAAACAUCGCUGUUUCUAUGCCAAUAAAUCUGGGCUCAUCAGGGGAAAAAUUCAUGAACUUCAGGAAGAUCUGAACAGACGACGACAAGAAUUCGCUCAAAAUCCCCUCUGGACUGGCCUCAAUGGUUUCCUCCCUUAUCUUCUCCCUUUGCUGGGACCCUUAUUGGGCCUACUUCUGCUCAUUUCUUUGGGGCCCGUAAUAUACAACAAAAUCAUGGCCUUUCUUAGAGCCUAGAUAGAGGCAAUAAAAACAGCGCCCAUACAGGUCCACUAUCAUAGAUUGGCAAUGGCUGACCAGGACGAAUGCUGGACCGUCGAUUAGGGCCUUGCCAUGGCAAAGUGUUCUCGCCCCACCUGGUGAGUGGGCUGGCAAGCCAAUGACGGGCAACUGAGCAAGCGUGCCAUGCAAUGAGAGAGCCCUCGUGCACCGCCUAAGACAGGUGUCAGAGCCUUGAUUGUCUGGUUAACCGAUGACGGGUAAGGUGCACGGUGCAGACACAUAUGUCCCUCUGACCCAAGACAGGCUCAGCCCCCACAGGCUUGGCUCUCCUGACGCCUUUCUACUAUAGUUAUAAUUUUAAAGGAAGGACCUGUGGGGGGCCUUGCCCCCCCCCCGCUAGAACUCUUGAGUGCCUUUUACGGGCAUGUCUGGGCCUGCUGCAAGUCUACCCGGCAACAAGGAAGUAGCCCCAGUACCCUCCCCUUGGUCCUCCCCUCUAGCCCUACGGUAUAUAUGCUGUAGCAGCUUCCGCAAUAAACGAG